This 72-nucleotide transfer RNA is filed under the name Bos taurus (domestic cattle). It matches the Rfam family "tRNA". Rfam says of the family: Transfer RNA (tRNA) molecules are approximately 80 nucleotides in length. Their secondary structure includes four short double-helical elements and three loops (D, anti-codon, and T loops). The record is from Rfam by way of RNAcentral. RNAcentral also lists the same sequence under 2 other names. Lineage: Eukaryota; Metazoa; Chordata; Mammalia; Artiodactyla; Bovidae.
UCCCUGGUAGCUCAGACGGUAAAGCAUCUGCCUCCAAUGCAGGAGACCCAGGUUUGAUCCCUGGGUCGGGAA